Long non-coding RNA from Chinchilla lanigera (long-tailed chinchilla), 1737 nucleotides. RefSeq lists it as uncharacterized. NCBI's taxonomy places the organism in Eukaryota, Metazoa, Chordata, Mammalia, Rodentia, Chinchillidae. The transcript is spliced from 3 exons. The record is from RefSeq and is a predicted model, not a curated record.
GAACAAACACUGCCAUUACCCGACAGAACUCUGGUCCUCUGGGCCCCGACUGAGGCUGGCUUCUCUGGGGUGCCACAUCCCUCUGUCCCUCUUGCCUGAGGGCAGGCUUGGUGUGUUGUCACAUUUGAAAAGAGAAACUUAACUACAAAAGCGUAUGUAUAGACUACAGAUUUUCUGAAGGUGUAGAGGGAGUUACCUCCGCUCACACAGUAAAACAACUCCAUCUCCCAUUGGUCAUCAUGCCAGACACACACUCGGGCCCCUUUCCUUCUGGAAGCUUCCUUGCCUGUCUCUUCCCUCAACAGUCAUCCAAUGCCUCUUAGCAAACCCCGUACACAUUUUUCAAGGCACCCCACCCAGCCCAAGGAGAUUCUUUUUACGAGUCCCUUUACUAUAUGAGUGGAGUAGGAGUGGGCUUUAUUCUUCAAGUCAGCCAACAAGUAUUUCUCAGGUUCCUUCCAUGGGCCAGGUCCUCUGCUGUGAUUAGGGAAGCAAGGAGAACAAAUGAGCUUCGGAACAGCACGAGUGUUUCGGACUUGGAUAAUGUGCUGUGAAGGAAAUAAACAGCAUGGUGUGACAGAGAAGCGAAAAGUGAGGGAUGUGAUUUAGGUUCGGUGGAAGGGAAGGGGUCUCUGAGGAGUGUUGUCCAGGCCAAGUCUGAAGAGAUGAGGUGUGACAGACAAGGGAUGGCCCGUGCAAGCGUCCCGUGGUGCGGAAGGCGGUGAGCUCAGCGAAGCAGAAAGAGGCCCCAGUGCUGGAGAGCAGGUGAGGGGGGAGGGCAGCCUCGCCAACAGGCUGAGGGCACACACGUGGAGCUGUGUCAGAGUGACAAGGGCCCCUGGAAGGUUCAGGGAAGGGCGGCACGACCCCAUUAAGUAGGAAAAAUAAUCCAAACAAAAGCUGCAUUUUCCUUUCAUGUCUCACCACACAUCCCUGCAGCCUUCUGCUCCGCUCAGAAGUACAAAGCCUGCCUCCGCCUCCUCUAGGAAACCGUCACUUUCUCGGCUGUCAGCAGGGUCUCCAGGGUAUUCCCUACAGAAGCAGCUCCUGCACUAACACACAGUGAGCGCGGGAGCGUUGUGAAGUGACACCUCCUGCUGGAAACUGUGCCGAACCCUGAGGAGACAUCGGUGCCAGCAGCAAUGUGCCUGCUGUGGACUGAAUGUUUGCAUCCGUCCAAAUUCAUUUCUUGGAAUCCAACUCCCAGUGUAAUGGCGUUGGAGGGAGGACCUUUGUGAGCUCGGAAGAGGACCCGCUCAAGAACCUGACUGCGGCUGCAUGUCCAUCUCAGAUUUCCAGAAUGAUGCGAAAUAGAUGCCUGCUCUCCAGGCCGCCCCAUCUACAGUACUCGUCAUUCCAUGGCAGCCCCAGUGGACUAAGGCGGCACCUCUCCACACUCAGGGACUCAUAGUUUGGCCUGCAGGUCACACAGCCGCCCGCGCCGUGAGACUUCCGUGUCCCCCUGGCCUCCACUCCAGCUUCAUUCCCACCAUUGCUCCCUACUUCCUCCUACACCACAGGUCGCUUCCAACUCUCCCCCAGCUCAAGGCCUUGUUCACCCUGUUCUCCCUGGCCCACCCUCACCGAGCUGGCUCCCUAGGUCUCCCCUCAAAUGCCGCCUGUAUGAAAGUACAUGUGUCCCCUGUCUUGAAUCCUUUAUCACUUCAUUUCUAUACCCUCAUUUAUAAAGAUGUUAUCCAUUUAUUGUUAUUUAUUAUUAUUUUCUUGCUGUGUAGC